GGUAAACGAUGUGGGAAGGCUUAGACAGCUAGGAGGUUGGCUUAGAAGCAGCCAUCCUUUAAAGAAAGCGUAAUAGCUCACUAGUCGAGUCGGCCUGCGCGGAAGAUGUAACGGGGCUCAAACCACACACCGAAGCUGCGGGUGUCACGUAAGUGACGCGGUAGAGGAGCGUUCUGUAAGCCUGUGAAGGUGAGUUGAGAAGCUUGCUGGAGGUAUCAGAAGUGCGAAUGCUGACAUGAGUAACGACAAUGGGUGUGAAAAACACCCACGCCGAAAGACCAAGGGUUCCUGCGCAACGUUAAUCGACGCAGGGUUAGUCGGUUCCUAAGGCGAGGCUGAAAAGCGUAGUCGAUGGGAAACAGGUUAAUAUUCCUGUACUUCUGGUUACUGCGAUGGAGGGACGGAGAAGGCUAGGCCAGCUUGGCGUUGGUUGUCCAAGUUUAAGGUGGUAGGCUGAAAUCUUAGGUAAAUCCGGGGUUUCAAGGCCGAGAGCUGAUGACGAGUCGUCUUUUAGAUGACGAAGUGGUUGAUGCCAUGCUUCCAAGAAAAGCUUCUAAGCUUCAGGUAACCAGGAACCGUACCCCAAACCGACACAGGUGGUCGGGUAGAGAAUACCAAGGCGCUUGAGAGAACUCGGGUGAAGGAACUAGGCAAAAUGGCACCGUAACUUCGGGAGAAGGUGCGCCGGCUAGGGUGAAGGAUUUACUCCGUAAGCUCUGGCUGGUCGAAGAUACCAGGCCGCUGCGACUGUUUAUUAAAAACACAGCACUCUGCAAACACGAAAGUGGACGUAUAGGGUGUGACGCCUGCCCGGUGCCGGAAGGUUAAUUGAUGGGGUUAGCGCAAGCGAAGCUCUUGAUCGAAGCCCCGGUAAACGGCGGCCGUAACUAUAACGGUCCUAAGGUAGCGAAAUUCCUUGUCGGGUAAGUUCCGACCUGCACGAAUGGCGUAACGAUGGCGGCGCUGUCUCCACCCGAGACUCAGUGAAAUUGAAAUCGCUGUGAAGAUGCAGUGUAUCCGCGGCUAGACGGAAAGACCCCGUGAACCUUUACUGUAGCUUUGCACUGGACUUUGAGCCUGCUUGUGUAGGAUAGGUGGGAGGCUUUGAAGCGUGGACGCCAGUUCGCGUGGAGCCAUCCUUGAAAUACCACCCUGGCAUGCUUGAGGUUCUAACUCUGGUCCGUGAUCCGGAUCGAGGACAGUGUAUGGUGGGCAGUUUGACUGGGGCGGUCUCCUCCUAAAGAGUAACGGAGGAGUACGAAGGUGCGCUCAGACCGGUCGGAAAUCGGUCGCAGAGUAUAAAGGCAAAAGCGCGCUUGACUGCGAGACAGACACGUCGAGCAGGUACGAAAGUAGGUCUUAGUGAUCCGGUGGUUCUGUAUGGAAGGGCCAUCGCUCAACGGAUAAAAGGUACUCCGGGGAUAACAGGCUGAUACCGCCCAAGAGUUCAUAUCGACGGCGGUGUUUGGCACCUCGAUGUCGGCUCAUCACAUCCUGGGGCUGAAGCCGGUCCCAAGGGUAUGGCUGUUCGCCAUUUAAAGUGGUACGCGAGCUGGGUUUAGA
RNAcentral lists this ribosomal RNA (1563 nucleotides) under Pseudomonas aeruginosa. Its description in RNAcentral is "partial 23S ribosomal RNA". It matches the Rfam family "Bacterial large subunit ribosomal RNA", at positions 1065 to 2615 of the family's 2925-position model. Lineage: Bacteria; Pseudomonadati; Pseudomonadota; Gammaproteobacteria; Pseudomonadales; Pseudomonadaceae. The record is from RNAcentral.